CCGGGGUCCGGAGCGCUCUAGUGUCAAAAGUGGCUAUUACACUCCGGAGUCCGGAGUCCUCUAGCGUCAAAAGUGGCUAUUGCACUCCGGAAAUUUAUGGCGACGAAUGGCAAAUCAAAUAACGACUGAUUCUGUGUUUUGACUCUCAUCACCUCGUUAAAACUUUUUGCCUCUUUCUUCGCAAUUGCCUCGUUCAAUUGGAUUCGCAAUUUCUCGUUAGUCAAUUGGUUUGAUUAACAUUUAAUAUUUAUGGUGUGCAUAAAGGAAGAGGGAAUGAUAGGAAAUAAAUCUCUGCUGUACUUGGUGAUUUCCAACAGGCCAUACAUUCUACAAUGACAUUCUGAUUGUGUGUGAUAAUGAAGAGGGAAUGAUUGCAAUUAAAUCUCUGCUGUACUUGGUGAUUUCCAGCAGGCCAUACACUCUACGAUGGCAUUCUGAUUGUAACCAGGUGUGUGUUAAUGAAGAGGGAAUGAUUGCAAUUAAAUCUCUGCUGUACUUGGUGAUUUCCAGCAGGCCAUACACUCUACGAUGGCAUUCUGAUUGUAACCAGGUGUGUGAUAAUGAAGAGGGAAUGAUUGCAAUUAAAUCUCUGCUGUACUUGGUGAUUUCCAGCAGGCCAUACACUCUACGAUGGCAUUCUGAUUGUAACCAGGUGUGUGAUAAUGAAGAGGGAAUGAUUGCAAUUAAAUCUCUGCUGUACUUGGUGAUUUCCAGCAGGCCAUACACUCUACGAUGGCAUUCUGAUUGUAACCAGGUGUGUUAAUGAAGAGGGAAUGAUAGGAAAUAAAUUUCUGCUGUACAUGGUGAUUCUCCAACAUUAUUGAUCCCAAAAUCCUCGACUUUCAUCCAGUCAUAAUGAUGUCAUUUACUAUGACUUUGGCUAGGCCAUGUAUUCUGCCAAUGAUCGUAUCAAAAGGAAACGACCAGGUCGCCAUGUCUUCUCGAUAGAAAACUCGUGAGGACACCGCUGUUAUUUGCACGCUGCUCAGUGUCUUGGUCGGUGUAUGCGCGGGAAAACGGACGAAUGGUGAUAAGCAACAUUUCUUUGUACAGACAAUUAUUGAUGCACAUUUUGUGAAACCAACCGUCGCAACCAUUCGUGUCACAUCCGAUAAACUCAAAUCCAUUUUUCUCCCAGCCUGUCCUGCGACAGGUACAAUACAAUAAUUCUGCUUCGACAGUCUCGUGAGUCCUUGUUGCACGACUUUCAACUGAUGGGAAUGGAGUUAGUUCGCCGGAAUCCAUACACUGAAUAAGGUGAUUGGAGGAGACUGGACAUACAACUUAGGACAUGCUCGUUUCUCCAUGGAUUGCCGGGACUGCUGUCAUACACCAGUACAUGUUCACGUUGAAUAAACCCUUUGGCAACUAAUACCCAGUGAUCCGAUCCGUCAUGAACGAUCUGCAACCAUUGAUCGCCCUGCGCUCGGGGGAAUUCAAGGCUGCCUCCAAUUGUACAGCAGAACAGACCACCUAUUUCUGGAUGUUGCUUUUUCAGGAUUGCCUGCGCCUUGUUGAUGUCGCCUGACAUGAGUUUGUUCGUCUUUGUUAAUACUUGCGGCUUGUCCAAGAAAAGAUAGGGUUGUUUACUCCUGUCCCGUCUAUUUCGGUUUUUUCGGAGGCAACCAUCAGUCGAAGACACAAGCUAUUAAAGGAAGUAAGGAAAUUCGAAUCAUUUUUCUGAAAUUCUUCCAAAUAUCAUUUUGUUACCUCUACAGAAUUAUCGGGUAAUGCAGUUGUGAUCAGUGUGACAUCGACAGGUGGAACAUCAGUGGUUGUGGUGAUGCUGAUGUCCGUUUUGUUUACAGGUGAAACUUCGCUGGGUGUAGUUGUGAUCAAUGUGUAGUUGUGAUCAAUGAUGGACACGUCCACUUCAUCGACUGGUGGAACAUCAGCGGCUGUGGUGAUGCGAACGUCUGUUUUGUUUACAGGUGAAACUACGCUGGGUGUAGGUAAUUCCUGAAGCUGUGAUGACGAAUCUUGAUUAUAAUAAUCCUUCAUGUGUUCUUCUUCCUCAGCCAAAAUUAGCACUUCCUCCAUCUCUCUGCUCAUAAUUCCACCCAUCUAAACAAAAGCUUCACGUUCUUCUCAUCUGGAUCUGGAUCCACCACUGAAACAUCGUCACGCGUUGUCUUCGACUUCUUUUUGUAAGCAGUAAAAUAUCCUUUGUCCUGUUUUGGCCUGCCUCUUUUAACAGGGGCAACGGGAAGACGGAGCGAUGCCCAAGGUUGAGCAAAAACCUAUAAAGAUGUUUCAAUACGUUCCGCAACAGUCGGAGAAUCAACCAGUGAGUUGUUCGAAGGAUUCUCGGUCUCCUGCUUCUCGUCUUCCAUUACUCGAAGGAGUUUCCCCUCUUUCAUUAAUUUGUGAAUGUUAAGGAAGAAGUGCAAUUGGACUUCGAAGUCGGAGGCUGCUAGUCCACUCAUCGUGUCGGCCAUCCUACGGAAAACGUUAGUGGCCAUGAUAUAUUGGCUUUUCCCCGUUGCACGCAGCCGGGUCUUUUUCGGACGCUGAACUCCAGAUGGCGAUGAAACGCUUGCGGAAACGACCGCAUCAUUCUUACAUUCAUUUAACCAGUGAUUAGAAAAUGAUCCCACUGGAACUUCGGUGUUUUCUUUGAUGUGGAAGUUGAUAAUGUGGCGGCAAGGCAGUUGAAAAUCCAAGAAAAACUUGCACGUGCAGCCAGUGAGAUCUUGUUUCAAUUUGUACGUAGUGUAGCGUGAAACUAUGUGUUCUGCUUCGAGAUGGCCCCAAGCAAAAGGGGAGAUGGUGUCCGCAAACUUUUUGAUCAACGGAUGCUUUUCCUUCUUGGAGAAUUUUACCUCUCGUAUGCACUGUUUCAUUUUUCGGUCAGAAAGGCGUAUCAAAACGAUGUCUAUUAAAUUGCGGAGAACUUCUGACAAUCGCUUGGUUUUCUGGAGGACAUCCUUGAUAGUGUGGUGAAAUCUUAAAAUGUAAUUCAGACGAUUGGUGGUAUUGUUACCAAACGUUGGAAGAUUUCGACGUCCAAGGUUACUCCAUUUGUCGGCUAUGUUGAACCAGUUAUUUUCGAAGUAUGCUGCAAUACUUCCUGGUCCGGAACCUAUGAAGUACGCUUUUGCUGUUUCAAAAUCAGCCUGCGUUUCAGCAUACAUAGCCGCACGAAAGUGUUUAAUAAUUUCGUGGAUUUUUUCUUUGUCUACGCGUUCGCCGUCCUUUGGUUUCUUUAUGUAGACGUCUACGGCCUUCAAUGCGUGAAACUGACAAAGGAUGUGAACCCCAUGAGGAAAGCAGUUCUCCAACGCGGCUAUCUCAGCGCAGUCUUUGUCGGAUAUGGUCACUUUUGUCAUGGAGACGUCGUUAUUCUGUAGGCAUUCAGAAAUCGCUUCCGUUGUCUCUUCUCUAAUGAAGAACAUAGCUACGGGUUGACCAUCGCCAUUAUUGUCUUCUAUCAGCAAAUGAUACAGCGCAAAUCCAGCUUGAUCAAUAUUCUGCACGAAAAUAGCGGUGACUUCUCCUUCCGGGUCGUGCAGCACUUUGACGACGUUGUUUGGAUCUUGUUGUAGACUAUCAAGAAAGCUAACUGAAUUGCUCCAAUCGUCUUCCAAAUUCCCUAAUGACAGAAAAAAGUUGUCCUUGAUUUGUUCAAGUCCUUGCUAAUGAGAUUGGAACCGAAUUUAUCUUGCAGAAUCUUGCGAAUUUUAGUCGGUUGAGCGCCGGCAGAAAGCGCACCGUUGGCGAAACUAAGGGCCUCGUCAUUCAUAUGCCUGUAAUAACGUGCAACAAGGUCGACAAGGUCAUUCCAGGAAAUAUAUAACAUGAAAUCCAAUCAUUUAAUCGAACAUACAACAAAACCUUAUUACAUCACACGGAAUGUAAAGUCUUGACAUGUUCCGCAGAAACAGGGUGGUCUUUAUGCUCCAACUCCAAGACCUUGAUCUCAAACUUUUCACUAACUGGAUUAAAAACAAAUCUAAUCUGCACUGGACAAUUGUUUGGCAUCACAUUUUGGUUCAGUCGUGAACCCUUUGAUCGUGAUUUGUGAGUACCAAAAUGAGGGCACAUGUAUUGAAUUCUUUUAAACUCAAACUUUUCGUCAAGUACGAUUUGAUUUCUUCGGUCAUUGUUGUAACUACUAAUUGACUCACAAUGACCACGACGCAAAUAUACAUUUUCUGUCUCUAA
Daphnia pulex (common water flea) is the source of this 4164-nucleotide long non-coding RNA. RefSeq lists it as uncharacterized. Lineage: Eukaryota; Metazoa; Arthropoda; Branchiopoda; Diplostraca; Daphniidae. The transcript is spliced from 20 exons. The record is from RefSeq and is a predicted model, not a curated record.